RNAcentral lists this long non-coding RNA (208 nucleotides) under Elaeis guineensis (African oil palm). RNAcentral describes it as "long non-coding RNA (EGUI_LNC003538)". The record is from RNAcentral. Lineage: Eukaryota; Viridiplantae; Streptophyta; Magnoliopsida; Arecales; Arecaceae.
UAAGUGGAUGUUAGGCUUGUCCCAGACUAGGUACAUAGAUUUUGUGUUGAAGAGAUUCAACAUGGAUGAGUGUAAGAGUGUUUACUUACCUAUGUAUAUUAUGUACCAAGCUUGAUGUGGUUCAUGCCAUGUGCAUAACCAUUGAUUUUAGGUUGAUUCAGGAUAGGAUCUUUGAAAUAUCAUAAAAAAUAUUCUCAAAUACUUGAGA